RNAcentral lists this long non-coding RNA (2746 nucleotides) under Oncorhynchus kisutch (coho salmon). Its description in RNAcentral is "lncRNA (ENSOKIG00005037002.1)". Lineage: Eukaryota; Metazoa; Chordata; Actinopteri; Salmoniformes; Salmonidae. The record is from RNAcentral.
GAGAAACCUAUUUCAUCCAUUUUGAAUUCAAGUUGAAGCAACAAAAUGUGGAAUAAGUCAAGGGGUAAGAAUACUUUCUGACUGUGAUUAGCUGGACCCUUUUCUACAACGUGAACACAAAAACAGUGAGGCAAAACAAAAAGCCUUUAGGCUAUUCAAAUACAAAAUACUAUUUAAAGCCAGUACUUACUCAGAGCAGAGCCCGGGAAGGGAGUUUGGCUGCUAGAUCCGAGCGCCGUGGCCUCCUCUAUCUGGGCUCCUGAACCUACGACUUGGUCCUGCUGUAGCUCCUCUUGUUCUGUGUCUGACGCAGGACGAGACGGCUCGGUCUGAAAUCUGGACCUCUUCGCUGACCUCGUCUUCCCCGACCUCGCGUUCGCUGACCUCGCCCUGACACUCGUCGUCUUCUGCCUUUUCAGUAGCUGAUACCUCUUCCUCGCUCUAUUCAGUUCCGAGGUCAGCUUCAGGUUGUCCUCUCUAACGGAUUGGAUGAUCGCACUUCUCUUGGUCAGGGCCUCAUCGCGCUCUUGCAAAGCUUUCCGUAGCCUCAGGAUGGGCGCCUGGCAGUGGCAGGAAUAAUCUCCGCAGCUCACGUCCUCCUCCUCCUCUUCCAAAGGAGACAGCAGUGAAUCUAAAGAGUUGUCCUCCUCUUCCUGCUUUGUUUCCCACUCCACAAUAUCCAAAUGGGUGGCCAGCGGGACGACAGGGUUGGACGCCCUCAACGUGGCCAGCCGCUCCAUGGUCAGCCGUCUCCUGAGUUCCUCUAAAGCCCGUCUCCUCUGCGAUCGGUCGAGCUCUGUGUGUGACUCCAUGUGCCGGUCCAGCCGGCUGGCAUGGGUGGAGCAUCCUGUCACUGGGCACGGCUCCUGCCUGAUGUUGACACGGCCCGACUGCCAAUUACAAAGGAGGAUCCUCUCCUCCGUGUUCCUAACAUUGUGCGUGUGCCUCAGGUGCUGACUGAAGCCGACCACAACCUUAGGGCAAAGCGGACAGGAACGCACUGCAGAGCGCACCGGAGUUCUCUCUAUUAUCUCUCCCUCCUCCUCCUUCACUCCAAACACUGCAUCCUAUAAAUCAAAUCACAUGUUAUUUGUCACAUACAGGUGUUCAGCAGAUGUUAUUUGUCACAUACAGGUGUUCAGCAGAUGUUAUUUGUCACAUACAGGUGUUCAGCAGAUGUUAUUUGUUACAUACACCUGUUCAGCAGAUGUUAUUUGUCACAUACAGGUGUUCAGCAGAUGUUAUUUGUCACAUACAGGUGUUCAGCAGAUGUUAUUGCGGGUGUAGUGAAAUGCUUGUGUUUCUAGCUCUGACAGUGCACUAAUAUCUAACGAUACACACAAUCUAAAGGAAGGGAAUUAAGAAUAUAUAAAUAUAUGGACGAGCGAUGUCAGAGCAGCACAGACUGAGAUACAGUAGAAUAGGAUAGAAUACAGUAUAUACAUAUGAGAUGAGUAAUGCAUAGACUGAGAUACAGUAGAAUAGAAUAGAAUACAGUAUAUACAUAUGAGAUGAGUAAUGCAUAGACUGAGAUACAGUAGAAUAGGAUAGAAUACAGUAUAUACAUAUGAGAUGAGUAAUGCAUAGACUGAGAUACAGUAGAAUAGGAUAGAAUACAGUAUAUACAUAUGAGAUGAGUAAUACAUAGACUGAGAUACAGUAGAAUAGGAUAGAAUACAGUAUAUACAUAUGAGAUGAGUAAUGCAUAGACUGAGAUACAGUAGAAUAGGAUAGAAUACAGUAUAUACAUAUGAGAUGAGUAAUGCAUAGACUGAGAUACAGUAGAAUAGGAUAGAAUACAGUAUAUACAUAUGAGAUGAGUAAUGCAUAGACUGAGAUACAGUAGAAUAGUAUAGAAUACAGUAUAUACAUAUGAGAUGAGUAAUGCAUAGACUGAGAUACAGUAGAAUAGGAUAGAAUACAGUAUAUACAUAUGAGAUGAGUAAUGCAUAGACUGAGAUACAGUAGAAUAGGAUAGAAUACAGUAUAUACAUAUGAGAUGAGUAAUGCAUAGACUGAGAUACAGUAGAAUAGUAUAGAAUACAGUAUAUACAUAUGAGAUGAGUAAUGCAUAGACUGAGAUACAGUAGAAUAGGAUAGAAUACAGUAUAUACAUAUGAGAUGAGUAAUGCAUAGACUGAGAUACAGUAGAAUAGGAUAGAAUACAGUAUAUACAUAUGAGAUGAGUAAUGCAUAGACUGAGAUACAGUAGAAUAGGAUAGAAUACAGUAUAUACAUAUGAGAUGAGUAAUGCAUAGACUGAGAUACAGUAGAAUAGGAUAGAAUACAGUAUAUACAUAUGAGAUGAGUAAUGCAUAGACUGAGAUACAGUAGAAUAGGAUAGAAUACAGUAUAUACAUAUGAGAUGAGUAAUGCAUAGACUGAGAUACAGUAGAAUAGGAUAGAAUACAGUAUAUACAUAUGAGAUGAGUAAUGCAUAGACUAAGAUACAGUAGAAUAGUAUAGAAUACAGUAUAUACAUAUGAGAUGAGUAAUGCAUAGACUGAGAUACAGUAGAAUAGUAUAGAAUACAGUAUAUACAUAUGAGAUGAGUAAUGCAUAGACUGAGAUACAGUAGAAUAGGAUAGAAUACAGUAUAUACAUAUGAGAUGAGUAAUGCAUAGACUGAGAUACAGUAGAAUAGGAUAGAAUACAGUAUAUACAUAUGAGAUGAGUAAUGCAUAGACUGAGAUACAGUAGAAUAGUAUAGAAUACAGUAUAUACAUAUGAGAUGAGUAAUGCAUAG